CACUGACUCACAGCACAUUUGCAGGUCCGAGGGCCGACAAGGUGUCAGCGCUGAUCCACUCAACCCGUCUGAAGCUCAACAUGCAGGCGAUUCUGUCUCUGAUCCUCGUCUGGACACACUUCAGCACAGCUGGAUCUCUUCAGUGUGAGACUUGCACAGAUCAGCGAUGUUCGGCCACAGCGUUGGUCUCAUGUUCCUCAGCCAGCAUGUGUGUUACUGCUUCUGUUCUAGCCAAAUGGUCUGGAGGAUCGAGUGAGCACAUCUUCAAGGCCUGUGCCCCUCGCUCCCUGUGUCCGGCCUCGGGCCCCCACACAUUUUCAGCCAGCACAAAAGAUGCCAGUACAUUUGCAUCUGCCCUGUGCUGCAACACAGACGGCUGUAACUCAGGAACGCUGCCUUGUAAGUAAAGGUGGCGUCGACUGAAACAACAGGCUGGAUGGAUGCAUCCUGUUUCCAUUUGGGUGUUUCUCAUUUCAGUGAGAGCUGCUCCGUCAGACAACGGCCUAAAGUGUCUCCCAGCUGACCCCUCUUGGUUCAGGGCCCCAGUGCAAUGCAAGGGAGUGGAGAGAAGCUGCUUCCAAGCAAGAGGUGAGGCGGAAUCAUAUGUUUAGCUAAUCCGAGCUAGUUUAAGCCAUAGAUGCCAGUAAAUCUGAUUUAUCAACGUAAGAUGAGCUGUCUCAGGUUUGUUGAGGAUGAUGAGGAUCGUAAGCGUGAUCUCUCUGAACAGCCAUGAGGAGAACCCUUCAUUGUCUCUUCGCAAAUGAAAAAAAAAGUCUUUACUGGAAAUGUUAAAAAUAAUGAUUUGUAUUUGAAAUAAUAUUUUCUUUUAAUGCUCAAACUUUGCUCUCGUCAAAGAAUCCUCCAUUUGCAGCGGUCACAGCAUUGCAGGCCUUUGUCAUUCUGGAUGUUAAUUUGUUGAGGUCAUCUGGUAAUCUGGGCCUCCUGACGCAAUGAGCAGACACAUUGUACCAUUACUACACUGCAGUGACAGUUGCUGGAAAUGGGCAGACAUUUGCAGCUAGAAUAGUCAUUUACCACAUUAGUGAUGUAAACAGUGUAUUUCUGAAUCGUUCAUUGGAAAAAAGUGCCUUUCUGUCAAAAAUAAGGACACUUCUAAGUGACCCCAAACUUUUGAACAGUAAUGUAGAAGUAACACAAAAAGACUACUGCACAUUGUAGAUUACCUGUAUUAAAGUAACUGUUACUUUUACUGUUACGUUUUCAGAAACAAACUAUCAGUGUCAUGACUAAUAUAUUUGUUAUCUUGUGAAACUGCUCCAGAGGAACCAAACUAUCCUUCACCUUGCUAAACCAGUUCCAGUUUCCUAUGAAAUAGCUGAUAAACGUCAACCAUGUGAUCUCAUGAUGCAAUCUCUGUGAUUUACAUAUUUUAUAAACCAACUUAGUGACAAACAAGACAGAAAAGUUUGUCUAUGCACACAAAUAACAUCUUAGUGUUUCACCAUCAUCUAUAGGUCGUAGUUCACUGGCUUCAGUUUCACCUGUUAAACCAUAAACUUCAUGUGAAGUGGCUGAAUGAAGCCUAUUUACACCUCUGGUGCAGGUGUUUCAACAUGUUCCAGACCUAAAUAUUUCUAUUUGUCUUGGAUCAGAAUAAGGCUCAGUAUCUAGACUGAUCCUGGUACCAGGAGGAUUCCUACAAAGCUUUGAGUCAUGAUUAAUUAUUUACAUGUUUGUCGUUUUUCCUUCAACAGCUUCUUUUGCUGAAAGUAACAUAAUGAAUAAAUGAGUGUUUAAAAUAAAUUACUGUAAUACA
This is a long non-coding RNA of Betta splendens (Siamese fighting fish), 1777 nucleotides long. Ensembl annotates it as phospholipase A2 inhibitor and Ly6/PLAUR domain-containing protein-like. The record is from Ensembl. Lineage: Eukaryota; Metazoa; Chordata; Actinopteri; Anabantiformes; Osphronemidae.